AUUCCUUCCCUGCUCCCAGCUCUUUCUCCUUUCUCUCUUGUCUGUUUCUUCUCCUUUUUCUCCUUCCCUAGGUAUUUUUUCUCUCAUAUGCAUAGACCUUUCUUUGAUGCCUGGAAAAUCAAAAGGAAGUUGAUGUUUUCCUAGAAAGAGGCUCUGAGCCAAGUCCUUUCUGUGCUUCCAUUUCUUCCCCUCUACAGGGAGAGCGCCUCAUCUCUUCCAUUUUCCAGGAGAGUUGGGGCCUUCCAUUCCCUCCAGUAAAUACUUGUUUUUCUUCCACCGCUGAGGCAAAUGCGGGGUGGCUGAUCACCUGGCAGACAUCUUAGGAAACAGGAGCACCGGUCUGGGAAACUGCUGGCCUGGCCUAACACCUGGCGCUGUGGUGCAGGAGGGCAGCCACUGAGGAUUCUUGAGGAGAGAGAGACCAUAGAAUGAAUGAAAGAGUUGGAAAGACUUUAAAGCUCUGGGAGGCUGAAUCCUUUAUUUCGCUGGAAGAAAAACUGAAUG
RNAcentral lists this long non-coding RNA (504 nucleotides) under Homo sapiens (human). RNAcentral describes it as "HSALNT0310348". Lineage: Eukaryota; Metazoa; Chordata; Mammalia; Primates; Hominidae. The record is from RNAcentral.